Molecule: non-coding RNA, 315 nt
Organism: Pelobates cultripes (western spadefoot toad)
Lineage: Eukaryota; Metazoa; Chordata; Amphibia; Anura; Pelobatidae
Source: the annotation of a GenBank genome assembly
CUCUGAUCCUGUAAUCUUCCUGCGCUGUUUAGUCAUGCAGGGCCCAGAGUGACAUCAUAACCCAUCUCACUGCAUCAUAGCAGGGUGUGUGAGGGAACAGAGCAAGAAGAGCUUGAUGUUUACAGCUCCUUCGCCGCCCGCCUCCAUUUUUCACAGCCACCUGCCUCGAGGGGGAGGAGGGUGGCUAAGGUGACCAGUGCUGAACAGGCUGACAAACAGCCAAGUGCCAGGACAAAAUUCCUACUGUGAUUUAUCGAGCCCUGCCUUAUAUAGAAUUUAACAUACAGUGCCUCUUCCUGCGCUGUUUAGUCAUGC